AUAAACAGAGGGGAAAAAAAUCCACUUCAAAUGAGCCCCACGGGUUAUGAAUUUAUGAUGUUUUUAAUACCCUGCAUUAAUUUACAUUAAGUACUGCUAUAGUUCAUUACAUUUUUCUUGCUCACAUUUCUGGGCACUAAUGAAUAAUAUAUGUAUAUUAUAGUUUUAUACAGUAUAUAUUCAGAGUUUUUAAUCAUGAUCAUCUUUUCUUAAAGUCAUUCAUCAUUUCUGUUACUCCCUUUUUAAAACUUAGUUUUGGAAAACAAAAAUGUAACUCAAACUGGGAGAACAAUAAAUAGUAUGUCACACAGAACAUACAAACACAAUGGGCAAAUCUGCUUAAGACCAAAAUGACUUCUGUUUACCACUGUGCAUCUAAUUCUGCACAACUUAAAAUACUCAAAACGAGCUGGAUAUUUAAAAGUCAAUGAGUUAUUCUGAACGGUUGCAUUGUUUCAAGCUCUGGCUACAGCCCAAUUUGUAAUGUUUCUAAAAUUAAUGAUAAAAAACACCAAUGUAAUUUUUUCACUAAACAAUUUCCAAUUGUAAAACCACAGCCCAAGAUACCCAUGAAGUUUAGUUAAUUUGUACAGAUACGCCGUUUUGCUGCCAACCUUUGUACCGUGACCAUUACCAGCCCAAGUUCAAGAUUCACAUUUUACGGUGUGAACAGAGUCAACUGAAUCUUAAGAAUUUUUAAAACUCUCAAACCCUGACUAUAUUUAGAUACAUUGGAUCUACACCACCAGAGCAUAACACCAAAUGAAAUUUUUAUUUAGCAUGUACAGCAAUCUAUGAAGUUGAGCGAAAAGGCCGACGACGUGAACGAGCUCAGAGUCGCGGUGGCGGCGACAGGGCGGCGGCGGCGACCGGGCUCCGGCUCGCUUCCUGCUCGGACAGAUCCCGGGUCCGUCUCCGCCCGCCGGCCGGCGCCCCGCCGAGUCCCCGGCCCCAGCGCGCGCACGUCACGGCUACGGAGCGCCCGAGGGGGCGGGGGCGCUGCGGGCCGGGGCGGGCCGACCGGGCGCGCGAGCGCACGAACGCGCGCUCCGAGAGGGGGCGCUGGGCGCCCGCGGCCGCCCCGCCCCUCCGCUCGCCCCCCGAGGGCAGCGCAAAGCCUCCAGGGCUGA
Molecule: long non-coding RNA, 1130 nt
Filed under: Felis catus (domestic cat)
Lineage: Eukaryota; Metazoa; Chordata; Mammalia; Carnivora; Felidae
Description: lncRNA (ENSFCAG00000051070.1)
Source: RNAcentral